AGAGUUUGAUCCUGGCUCAGGACGAACGCUGGCGGCACGCCUAACACAUGCAAGUCGAACGAGAGGAGAGGAGCUUGCUUUUCUGAUCUAGUGGCGGACGGGUGAGUAACACGUGAGCAAUCUGCCUUUCAGAGGGGGAUACCGAUUGGAAACGAUCGUUAAUACCGCAUAACAUAAUUGAACCGCAUGAUUUGAUUAUCAAAGAUUUAUCGCUGAAAGAUGAGCUCGCGUCUGAUUAGCUAGUUGGUAAGGUAACGGCUUACCAAGGCGACGAUCAGUAGCCGGACCGAGAGGUUGAUCGGCCACAUUGGGACUGAGACACGGCCCAGACUCCUACGGGAGGCAGCAGUGGGGAAUAUUGCACAAUGGAGGAAACUCUGAUGCAGCGAUGCCGCGUGAGGGAAGAAGGUUUUAGGAUUGUAAACCUCUGUCUUCAGGGACGAAAAAAGACGGUACCUGAGGAGGAAGCUCCGGCUAACUACGUGCCAGCAGCCGCGGUAAUACGUAGGGAGCGAGCGUUGUCCGGAAUUACUGGGUGUAAAGGGAGCGUAGGCGGGAUCGCAAGUCAGAUGUGAAAACUAUGGGCUUAACCCAUAAACUGCAUUUGAAACUGUGGUUCUUGAGUGAAGUAGAGGUAAGCGGAAUUCCUAGUGUAGCGGUGAAAUGCGUAGAUAUUAGGAGGAACAUCAGUGGCGAAGGCGGCUUACUGGGCUUUAACUGACGCUGAGGCUCGAAAGCGUGGGGAGCAAACAGGAUUAGAUACCCUGGUAGUCCACGCCGUAAACGAUGAUUACUAGGUGUGGGGGGACUGACCCCUUCCGUGCCGCAGCAAACGCAAUAAGUAAUCCACCUGGGGAGUACGACCGCAAGGUUGAAACUCAAAGGAAUUGACGGGGGCCCGCACAAGCAGUGGAGUAUGUGGAUUAAUUCGAAGCAACGCGAAGAACCUUACCAGGUCUUGACAUCGUAUGCAUAGCUCAGAGAUGAGUGAAAUCUCUUCGGAGACAUAUAGACAGGUGGUGCAUGGUUGUCGUCAGCUCGUGUCGUGAGAUGUUGGGUUAAGUCCCGCAACGAGCGCAACCCUUACUGUUAGUUGCUACGCAAGAGCACUCUAGCAGGACUGCCGUUGACAAAACGGAGGAAGGUGGGGAUGACGUCAAAUCAUCAUGCCCCUUAUGACCUGGGCCUCACACGUACUACAAUGGCUGUCAACAGAGGGAAGCAAAGCCGCGAGGUGGAGCGAACCCCUAAAAGCAGUCUUAGUUCGGAUUGUAGGCUGCAACCCGCCUACAUAAAGUCGGAAUUGCUAGUAAUCGCAGAUCAGCAUGCUGCGGUGAAUACGUUCCCGGGCCUUGUACACACCGCCCGUCACGCCAUGGGAGUCGGUAACACCCGAAGCCUGUAGUCUAACCGCAAGGAGGACGCAGUCGAAGGUGGGAUUGAUGACUGGGGUGAAGUCGUAACAAGGUA
Molecule: ribosomal RNA, 1470 nt
Filed under: metagenome
Description: bacterial SSU rRNA
Rfam family: Bacterial small subunit ribosomal RNA
Source: RNAcentral